GACGAACGCUGGCGGCGUGCCUAAUACAUGCAAGUUGAGCGCUGAAGGUUGGUACUUGUCCCAACUGGAUGAGCAGCGAACGGGUGAGUAACGCGUGGGGAAUCUGCCUUUGAGCGGGGGACAACAUUUGGAAACGAAUGCUAAUACCGCAUAAAAACUUUAAACACAAGUUUUAAGUUUGAAAGAUGCAAUUGCAUCACUCAAAGAUGAUCCCGCGUUGUAUUAGCUAGUUGGUGAGGUAAAGGCUCACCAAGGCGAUGAUACAUAGCCGACCUGAGAGGGUGAUCGGCCACAUUGGGACUGAGACACGGCCCAAACGCCUACGGGAGGCAGCAGUAGGGAAUCUUCGGCAAUGGACGAAAGUCUGACCGAGCAACGCCGCGUGAGUGAAGAAGGGUGUCGGAUCGUAAAACUCUGUUGGUAGAGAAGAACGUUGGUGAGAGUGGAAAGCUCAUCAAGUGACGGUAACUACCCAGAAAGGGACGGCUAACUACGUG
This 497-nucleotide ribosomal RNA is filed under the name uncultured bacterium. RNAcentral describes it as "partial 16S ribosomal RNA". It matches the Rfam family "Bacterial small subunit ribosomal RNA", at positions 28 to 507 of the family's 1533-position model. The record is from RNAcentral.